GACGAACGCUGGCGGCGUGCCUAAUACAUGCAAGUAGAACGCACAGUUUAUACCGUAGCUUGCUACACCAUAGACUGUGAGUUGCGAACGGGUGAGUAACGCGUAGGUAACCUGCCUGGUAGCGGGGGGUAACUAUUGGAAACGAUAGCUAAUACCGCAUAAUAUUGAUUAUUGCAUGAUAAUUGAUUGAAAGAUGCUAUUGCAUCACUACCAGAUGGACCUGCGUUGUAUUAGCUAGUAGGUGAGGUAACGGCUCACCUAGGCGACGAUACAUAGCCGACCUGAGAGGGUGAUCGGCCACACUGGGACGGAGACACGGCCCAGACUCCUACGGGAGGCAGCAGUAGGGAAUCUUCGGCAAUGGACGAAAGUCUGACCGAGCAACGCCGCGUGAGUGAAGAAGGUUUUCGGAUCGUAAAGCUCUGUUGUAAGAGAAGAACGGGUGUGAGAGUGGAAAGUUCACACUGUGACGGUAUCUUACCAGAAAGGGACGGCUAACUACGUG
This 505-nucleotide ribosomal RNA is filed under the name uncultured bacterium. Its description in RNAcentral is "partial 16S ribosomal RNA". It matches the Rfam family "Bacterial small subunit ribosomal RNA", at positions 28 to 507 of the family's 1533-position model. The record is from RNAcentral.